RNAcentral lists this ribosomal RNA (403 nucleotides) under Verrucomicrobiota bacterium. Its description in RNAcentral is "Verrucomicrobia bacterium partial 16S ribosomal RNA". It matches the Rfam family "Bacterial small subunit ribosomal RNA", at positions 355 to 776 of the family's 1533-position model. Lineage: Bacteria; Pseudomonadati; Verrucomicrobiota. The record is from RNAcentral.
UGGGGAAUAUUGCACAAUGGGGGAAACCCUGAUGCAGCGACGCCGCGUGAGCGAAGAAGGUUUUCGAAUCGUAAAGCUCUGUCCUAUGAGAAGAUAAUGACGGUAUCAUAGGAGGAAGCCCCGGCUAAAUACGUGCCAGCAGCCGCGGUAAUACGUAUGGGGCGAGCGUUGUCCGGAAUUAUUGGGCGUAAAGGGUACGUAGGCGGUCUAUUAAGUCAGGUGUAAAAGCGUGAGGCUUAACCUCAUUAAGCACUUGAAACUGAUAGGCUUGAGUGAAGGAGAGGAAAGUGGAAUUCCUAGUGUAGCGGUGAAAUGCGUAGAUAUUAGGAGGAAUACCGGUGGCGAAGGCGACUUUCUGGGCUUUUACUGACGCUGAGGUACGAAAGCGUGGGGAGCAAACAGG